UACGUAGGGGGCAAGCGUUGUCCGGAUUCAUUGGGCGUAAAGAGCGUGUAGGCGGCCAGGUAGGUCGGUUGUGAAAACUGGAGGCUCAACCUUCAGAGGUCGACCGAAACCAUCUGGCUAGAGUCCGGGAGAGGAGAGUGGAAUUCCUGGUGUAGCGGUGAAAUGCGCAGAUAUCAGGAAGAACACCCGUGGCGAAAGCGGAUCUCUGGGCCAUUACUGACGCUGAGGAGCGAAAGCGUGGGGAGCGAACAGG
This 253-nucleotide ribosomal RNA is filed under the name uncultured bacterium. RNAcentral describes it as "partial 16S ribosomal RNA". It matches the Rfam family "Bacterial small subunit ribosomal RNA", at positions 524 to 776 of the family's 1533-position model. The record is from RNAcentral.